AACUACUGAGCCAUGACGGGAACUCCAAGGAUACUCUUGUCCUCAAAAGCCUACCAUACUUUUGAGGGGUAAGACUUACUCAUUUGUCAAAGACAUAAUUAAAAUUCAAAGGCAUCAUUACCCUUAGAGUUGAGAGGAAAGAGCACUCCCUGUAUUUAUAGUCUCUUUGGAGACCAGAUAGAAAUUCAGUGGGAGUCAAGAGAAAAUGAGAAAAUCUUGAAAGAGUGACCAUUUGAGUCUGAUGACAAAGGGAAUAUCUUUACGGGGGCGUGGGGAGGCGUUGGUUUUGUUAAAACUGCAGUGGGGAAAAAGAUCUUAGUAUUCUUUGCAACAACAGAAAAUCCCCAGACAAACCUAAAUGGGGCCUGGUAGUCUCACUGGCUUUAUGCGAAGGGGGUGGGAGGUGGGGGGACCGGCUGGAGACAUCCAGUGCACACUCCUGGUUUCCUCAUUCAGCCUGAGAGACACUGAUACCCCUUGUUGAGUUACUUAUCCAGAUCCUCUUUAAGCUCCAUUUCUUUCUUUCCCCAGCAGAUCCCUGGAGAGAUGCCCUUUCAACCUUCCAUCUCUGCUAAAUGCCUUUUGGAUCCCAGCAGUGGACUCCACUGGAUGGGUGGAUUGACUCAGAGCAGACUGUUACUGAGGCCUAUUAGGGUUGGUGAAAAGCAUUCUAGCCAGAGCCUCCAGAGAGACGGUGCCUGGAGCAUACACACAGAGAGACACUGGGAAAAUACCCUUGUGCUGGAGCGACAGGGUGAAAACAUCUGUGUUCCUGAGCUGCUUAAGAAGAUAAAGUUAAUGGGGAGAAGGCAGGGGGCGGGGGAGGUGGGAGGAGUGGGGAAUGGUGCAGUCUGAGGGCGCGCAUGUUUGGAGCAGAUGGAAAAUGUACCCAGAACUGGAGAUGUGAGCCAAUUGUAACUGAUUUUACAACAGAGGUAUACAGAGGAGUCUCAAAGAUGCAGAAUUCCAGUGAAAAACCUGGAGGGUGGCUAAAGGAGGAGAAACCUCUUAAACCCCCAAAGUAAGAUUAAUUCCUGAGAGCGGGCAGGGAAGAUGAUCCCAAGUGGUCCAUGAUUCUAAGUGAAUUUCAUACCUGCCUGCCAGGGAGUGAGGUUUACAGGGUGACCUGGCUAAUCGUCGUUUUCUCACCCCCAAUUUUGCUUCUAAACUGGACAUGCCCUUUCCCUCUCGGCCGCCUGCCUCAAAACUUGUCAAGCUACUCCUUCUCUUUCGCUAAAAUGCUGCUUCCUAGCAGUCUAAUAUGUGACACAAAUGAACCUCUACAAAAAUGAAACAAACUCAUGGACUUGGAGAACAGACUUGUGGUUGCCAAGAGGGAGGGGGUGGGGGAGGGAGUGGGAUGGACGGGGAGUUUGGGGUGAGUAGAUGCAAACUAUUGCCUUUGGAGUGGAUAAGUAAUGGGAUCCUGCUGUAGAGCACAGGGAGCUGUAUCUAAUCACUUGUGAUGGAACAUGAUGGAGGAUAAUGUGAGAAAAAGAAUGUAUAUAUACGCAUGCCUGGGUCACUGUGCAAUACGGCAGAAAUUGACAGAACACUGUCAAUCAACUAAAUAAGAACCAUUUUAAAAGUUAAUUAAACAAAUAAAUAAGAAAAGGAAAACUUGGUAGUUGCUGAA
This 1636-nucleotide long non-coding RNA is filed under the name Sus scrofa (pig). RNAcentral describes it as "lncRNA (ENSSSCG00060043746.1)". Lineage: Eukaryota; Metazoa; Chordata; Mammalia; Artiodactyla; Suidae. The record is from RNAcentral.